This 468-nucleotide ribosomal RNA is filed under the name uncultured bacterium. RNAcentral describes it as "partial 16S ribosomal RNA". It matches the Rfam family "Bacterial small subunit ribosomal RNA", at positions 28 to 507 of the family's 1533-position model. The record is from RNAcentral.
GACGAACGCUGGCGGCGUGCUUAACACAUGCAAGUCGAACGGAAAGGCCCUGCUUUUGUGGGGUGCUCGAGUGGCGAACGGGUGAGUAACACGUGAGUAACCUGCCCUUGACUUUGGGAUAACUUCAGGAAACUGGGGCUAAUACCGGAUAUGAGCUCCUGCUGCAUGGUGGGGGUUGGAAAGUUUCGGCGGUUGGGGAUGGACUCGCGGCUUAUCAGCUUGUUGGUGGGGUAGUGGCUUACCAAGGCUUUGACGGGUAGCCGGCAUGAGAGGGUGAACGGCCACAUUGGGACUGAGAUACGGCCCAGACUCCUACGGGAGGCAGCAGUGGGGAAUAUUGCACAAUGGGCGGAAGCCUGAUGCAGCAACGCCGCGUGCGGGAUGACGGCCUUCGGGUUGUAAACCGCUUUCGCCUGUGACGAAGCGUGAGUGACGGUAAUGGGUAAAGAAGCACCGGCUAACUACGUG